Molecule: ribosomal RNA, 196 nt
Filed under: uncultured bacterium
Lineage: Bacteria
Description: partial 16S ribosomal RNA
Rfam family: Bacterial small subunit ribosomal RNA
Source: RNAcentral
GAAAUUCGCCUUCAUGAAGCCGGAAUUGCUAGUAAUGGCAGGUCAGCAUACUGCCGUGAAUACGUUCCCCGGGGCCCUUGUACACACCGCCCGUCACACCAUGAGAGUUGGGAAUACCCGAAGCCUGUGAGCUAACGUUAAGAGGCAGCAGUCGAAGGUAGAAUCAAUGAUUGGGGUGAAGUCGUAACAAGGUACC